UACGUAGGGUGCGAGCGUUAAUCGGAAUUACUGGGCGUAAAGCGUGCGUAGGUGGUUCGUUGUGUCUGUGGUGAAAGCCCCGGGCUUAACCUGGGAAUGGCCAUGGAAACUGGCGAGCUGGAGUCUGGCAGAGGGGGGUGGAAUUCCGCGUGUAGCAGUGAAAUGCGUAGAGAUGCGGAAGAACACCAGUGGCGAAGGCGGUCAACUGGCCUCAUAUUGACACUCAGACGCGAAGGCAUGGGUAGCGAACGGG
This 253-nucleotide ribosomal RNA is filed under the name uncultured bacterium. Its description in RNAcentral is "partial 16S ribosomal RNA". It matches the Rfam family "Bacterial small subunit ribosomal RNA", at positions 524 to 776 of the family's 1533-position model. The record is from RNAcentral.